This 714-nucleotide unclassified non-coding RNA is filed under the name Phytopythium vexans. RNAcentral describes it as "sequence contains ITS1, 5.8S rRNA gene and ITS2". The stretch from base 227 to 381 matches the Rfam family "5.8S ribosomal RNA". Lineage: Eukaryota; Oomycota; Peronosporomycetes; Pythiales; Pythiaceae. The record is from RNAcentral.
CCCUUCCACGUGAACCGUUUUGUUUUGCUUUCGAGUGCUUUGUUGUGCUCGGAGCAUGUUUGGGCUUCGCUGCUGGCGCUUGAUUGUGCUGGCGGCUCGAGGCCAUCAAGCGGCGUUUUGAGUGUGUGUUCGCAUACAAUUGAAACGUCCAAACCUUUUAAACCCAUUUGAUUGAAAACUGAAGUAUACUGUGGGGACGAAAGUCCUCGCUUUGAAACUAGAUAACAACUUUCAGCAGUGGAUGUCUAGGCUCGCACAUCGAUGAAGAACGCUGCGAACUGCGAUACGUAAUGCGAAUUGCAGGAUUCAGUGAGUCAUCGAACUUUUGAACGCAUAUUGCACUUUCGGGUUACGCCUGGAAGUAUGUCUGUAUCAGUGUCCGUACACUAAACUUGCGUCUCUUCCGUCGUGUAGUCGUCGGUUGUUUGAUUGCAGAUGUGAGGUUGUCUCGCGAUCCGUUGCUUGUCGACAGGGUUGCGAGUCCCUUUAAAGUCGGACGCGUGUUUUUCCGUUUUGUGCUUGAUGGGGUGCGGCUGCGGCCGUGUCUGCUGGCGGGUCCGGUGACCUUUGGCGAUGGCAUGAGAGUGGAUUGCUCGAUUUGCGGUAUGUUAGGCUUCGGCUUUGACAAUGCAGCUUAUUGAGUGUGUUCGCUUGGCUGUUGCUGUAUGGGUGAGCUGGAUGGUCGGUGGGUGCGUUGUUGCGUGUCGUUUUCAU